Molecule: long non-coding RNA, 261 nt
Filed under: Nicotiana benthamiana
Lineage: Eukaryota; Viridiplantae; Streptophyta; Magnoliopsida; Solanales; Solanaceae
Description: long non-coding RNA (NBEN_LNC037282)
Source: RNAcentral
GAAGGCACAAAUUUAACGUGGUUCGGUCAAGGAGACAUACGUCCACAAGCGGAGUGAAGCAAUUUCACUAUACUAAAAAGAGUAUAAAAGAGAGUACAAAAUUAGAGUAAAUAGUCUAAUAAUCCCAAAUACCCCAAGAGAAUAAUCUCAUAAGAUCACUCCAAAGAAAAGGUUCACACAAGUGUUUCCCAGCACUUACUUUCUCACAAUAUAAUCUUAAUUACUAAAGGAGGAGGAGAAGAAACAAGAAAUGAAUAAAUC